This 541-nucleotide ribosomal RNA is filed under the name uncultured Gallionellaceae bacterium. Its description in RNAcentral is "bacterial SSU rRNA". It matches the Rfam family "Bacterial small subunit ribosomal RNA", at positions 135 to 671 of the family's 1533-position model. Lineage: Bacteria; Pseudomonadati; Pseudomonadota; Betaproteobacteria; Nitrosomonadales; Gallionellaceae. The record is from RNAcentral.
UAUGGGGGAUAACGUAGCGAAAGUUACGCUAAUACCGCAUAUGCCCUGAGGGGGAAAGGUGGGGAUCGCAAGACCUAUCGUUUUCGGAGUGGCCGAUAUCAGAUUAGCUAGUUGGUGAGGUAAAGGCUCACCAAGGCGACGAUCUGUAGCUGGUCUGAGAGGACGACCAGCCACACUGGGACUGAGACACGGCCCAGACUCCUACGGGAGGCAGCAGUGGGGAAUUUUGGACAAUGGGGGCAACCCUGAUCCAGCCAUGCCGCGUGAGUGAAGAAGGCCUUCGGGUUGUAAAGCUCUUUCAGACGGAAAGAAAUCGCUAUUCCUAAUAUGAGUGGUGGAUGACGGUACCGUCAGAAGAAGCACCGGCUAACUACGUGCCAGCAGCCGCGGUAAUACGUAGGGUGCGAGCGUUAAUCGGAAUUACUGGGCGUAAAGCGUGCGCAGGCGGUUUUGUAAGACAGACGUGAAAUCCCCGGGCUUAACCUGGGAACUGCGUUUGUGACUGCAAGGCUAGAGUACGGCAGAGGGGGGUAGAAUUCCA